CGGCGUGAAGGGAUGAAGUGCCGCACGGCUCACUUCUGGCCUAAUUUUGGAUGGCAUAAGCACAAACACAGGAGGGACGGAGGAGUCAAAGUGCACCUGCCGCCGUGCUCAGCAGUGGGCGCCUUGGUCCUGCAGCAAAGGCAUUGCACCCUCCCUGCGUCCUGGGGACGCAUGAGCUGCCCCCGCAAGGGGCAAGAUGGAGAGAGCAUCUGCUGCACCGCUGAGCUCGGGAGGAGAGCGUGCUUUCCACCCUCCGAAAGUGCCACCCAGCUGCUGCGCUCUCGCAGGGCACCCACAGCACCUGCGAGCGCUGCCCUGCAGGCGCCUGAGCCCACCAUGACGCUGGGCAUCUCCCAAGGCUGGCCGCAAACGCAGGAAAAAAGAGUGCUCAGCACCGCCGGGAUUACUCAGCACCUCGCAGGACGGGGCCCCGCGCUCCUGCUGGUAUACAGAUGAAGCAGGAAGUAUUCACUGACGGUGAGGAGAACUGAAUUGCACAUGAGAAAUUGCUGCUGGCACAACUCCAGUGCCAGCAUUUACCCUGAUUUGGAGGCUGGCGAGCACAGAGAAGCUUUGUUCACGGAGAGGUGAUCACCAAGUGGUAAUGGUCUCAGACAAAUGGGGUUUCAGACUGAAUAUGGUAGCCUAGCUAGUGAAUUUCCAAUGUUUUGUUUUUGUAGAGCAUUUAAUUAAUACAAAAAUUUUCACAAAAAUCACAAAAUAUUCAUUUCUGUUUAUCACCGGACACUUAUGAGUCUCAAUCAGAUGCAUGUGGUAGGUGUUUUCACACACAGCCAAAAGCUUACAGCCUUUUAGGCCAAAAGCUUACAACCUUAACUCAAGAGUUCUAUUAUAAGGGGAAAACAUAUAAAAGUAGAAAAACGCAUCUUUAAAAGGAAGUAUCGUAAAGUCCAGGAUGACAAACCCUGAACUGGCUUGGUCAUAAAUUCAUGAUGAUCAUAUUAGACUGUUACAGAUCAGACUGAUGUAGAUGUCUUAACUGAAUUUUUAAUGUAAAAGUUUGGAUUUCUUUAACUGUAAUUGUCACCUUUAAUUUAUCCCAUUUAAUUCCUCAGUUUCAUAAUACUGAUCACAUCUUGUAAAGUCUUUCUUUUUUAUCACUAUUUUCCAAUUUAACUCUUGGGGUUUUUGUUUCUUUCUUUUUUUUUUUUUUACUUUUUUAUUUUGCUUCCCUUUCAGUCUGAUUUCUUUUUUUGGUCUAGAAGUUUAUAUAGAAGUAUAACUAUUUAUACAAUUUUAUAUUAUCCCAUGACUGUAUAAAGCAUGUAUAUACUCACUUGCGCAAGAGGCUGCAUAUAGUUUUCAGAUUUCCUAAAUGGUAGGUACAGACCCUUUCAGCUGUAGCAUGAACUUGGAACUGCAUGAGAUAACCAUGAAAACACACCCUAAUAUUGCAGUUUGAAGCAGUUUCUCAGACUUAGCCUUGCAUGAAAGUGUCCUGUGUGGGAAGUAAAAACACUUAAAUAAUCAAACUUUUUUGCUGUAGCCUUACCUUCUUGAUUAAAGGAAGCAUGUUUCUCCAGCAGUUCCCAGUCAAUCUGUCUUUCCAAAAUCAAUACUUCCUGAAAGAGCAAGCCAGCCACAGACUUUCCUAAACUGUUUUCUGGGAGGCAUCCAGGAACACAGAUUUUAAUUAUUUUAUCACUGCUAUAUGCAGACCUCAAUGGAAAGUCAAAGAGUUUUCCUAGUAGCACAUGUGUACCCAACUUGAGGCAAAUGCCAUUAGCUCUAUCAAAGCAGUGUGCAAGGAAGUCAGACCAUUAUUCCUGUUUUAACAUGAGGAACCUGAGGCACAGGAAGAUGAAACAACUUGUCUGAAAUAACUCAGCAAACCAGAGGCAGGACUUUCUCUCACCUGCUGCAUUUUAAGGUAUGUGACAAAUGGCAUAUGCCAGGGUACUUGCCUCUGAUAUGCCUUAUUUUACAUUUUUGGAGCUGGAGCCCUUGGGAAUUGCUUGCCAGGUAGGGCACACAGACAUACUUUGCAAUGCUUAUGAUAUACAGGUCUGUGGUUUAUUGCAUAUGUUUUAUGUUUUGAUGUUUUGGGAAUCUCAUUUGUAUAUCAGCAGGAUCACUGUGGUUGCUGAUAAAUUUUUUCUAGAGUACAGAUUUAUCCUGUCAGGAUUAUUUCAGGCUGCUAAACAUCCAUUUCAAUCCAAAAAAAGUUCUCCCUAACAAAAAAAAUUGCUAGGAUUAGGAACUCUGUUCAUACCAGUCUAAUUAAUAAUGCCAUGCAUUAAAUUAUCAACCCAACUGCUUGGAUAUGAAAUUGGAUGCUAAAAUCUGAAUUAGGCAGGAUUGUGUCUGAGGCAAUUUUUAAAUUUCCUCAGAAUAGAAGAUGUUUGCAGCCUAUUCAUUUCUGCUUACUGUUAUUCUUAAUAACCUUUGAUAAUAAUAAUCAUAAUGUGAUUGCUGAAUUUCUGAAGAUGUACUGAGAAAAUCUAAGAAGAUAAUAAAAAAGACAGCCUUGCACCAAAAAUAGAAAAAAAUAAACAUGACACAGGGAGUGGGAGAUGAAGAAGAAUAAUGAAGUGUGCAGAAAUGAGAAUGGUUAAAGCAACACAGUCCCAGGAUUACUCACUCUGGGAUGAUCCUUGCCUUCUCUGUCAAAUCUUCGAAAUGAGCAGCCACAGAGAAGUGUUCAGAUUCAUAGGUGUCCCGGCAAACAGUGACCUGCUACUUUUGCAACUGGUUAACAUCUCCUGAGGGCCUUCUUAUUUUCCCUAUCUGGGGUACAAUUUUCCCUUUAUCUAUAAUAUGCAACUACCAAAUUUUAUCUUUUGAUGAAGCCAAAUUCACUGACCUUAGGGUGUUCAGUGGGUCUGGACUUCGAGGCAAGUUAUAUAGCCAGCAUGAGUUCCCCGCAUGACUCCAGAUGAUGAGUCCCACUACUGAAGUUGGUGGUAAUGCUCUUGCUGUCUGUCUACUGUAAUGAACAUAGGAGCACGUCUCAGCUCUUGGGCCCAUCUGCACACCCUAGACACUCUGAGAUCCAUGUGCAAGCAUGCCACUCUCUUCUGUUUUCUGUGUCAGGCAGUCUUUUCUCCAGGUUUGAAGCCACAGAGCAUGUAUUUCUGAUAGAAAGAUAGAAAAUUCACUGGAAAAUCGCCAUGGUGGCAGCAGAUGGGAAGUGAUAUCAGAAAGCAUAUCAGCUGCUGGCCAAUAUAGUUUUCCAGACUUAUUCAAGUAACAUGGUGGAUGGACGAGAAAGUCUUAGAAGCAAAUAGCCUCUAUUCCCAUUUCUCUCAAAUAUAGAAGUUAUCUUCUAUUAUCUCCUGAGACAGAAUUAAUCCAGCCCUAAGAGCCCUGAGAGAAAAUGUCUGGUCGAUAUGGGUAUGCUUGGAAGACUUAUGGAGAGCUUACAUAUACUGUCUGCAGAUAUGCAUUUAAACUCACUACUGAACCAUCACAAGCUUCCUCACUUUUUGCCACUGUACCUCUUGGAGGAGAAGAGGAGAAAUGGACUAUUUUCUCUCACUGAGUUUACUUAGAAGAUCUUUGGUGUCUAAAAAGAAGGAACCAAAAAUGGAGUAAUAAAUAUCAAAUAAGCUAUAGAAAGCUAACAGAAGCAAGGCAGGAGCAGGAAAGAUCAGAGAACUUUGCUAGGGUGGCAAAGUUAAUACGCAAUGGCCAGUCUCACAGGUCAUCCCUUUAAACAUGAGGGUGACAGCUACCCUCAUUUCCUUUUUUGGGUUUUGCUGCCAAUUGAUGCUUUCCCUCACAGGUAUUCAGAAAGCCCCCAGUGCAGCAUCUCCCACUCCCUCCUGUAAGAACCAACAGUAUUUAGCCUUAGCCUUACGGGAACCUCGGUCUCCAUGGCAGCAGCUGCAGCUGCAUAGAAAAAGUUUCUGGGAUUGUGCAUGCUAGAUUUUGCUUUUGUUUCUGGUUCAAGAGUGUUUGUUUGUAGGGAAUGGACUGUGUCUUACUACUUAUCUUGCUUUCACCAGAGAGAGUGACUGAGAGGCCUGGUAUCAUACUUCUGAGCAGGGCUCAGGAGUGUUGGAACCGGUAAUAGGACCAGUAAUGGCCUCCCAGCAUGGGGAAUAUUUCUAAAUGCAUCCAUCCUGGACCAAAGCUUAGCCUAACUUUUACCUUAGAAUUAAACAAAAGCAGGGAGAUGCUCAGCAACUUCAACACAGUUUUUAUUUAAGUAUCCCAGAAAAUAAUCAGGUUAAUGACUUAUGUUUCAAAUUAAUGAAAGAUGGAUAUCUUGUAUUUCCAGAGAGAAUCAGCAAAGUCCUAUGAACCUUUACUGCCUUCACAGUGUGACACUGAUUUUGGAGAUGCUACUUAGGAGAUGUUUAGGUAUGAAAGCACGCUGCCUGGAAACAGGAGAACUGAGCACAGAAGACAGGCAUUAUCAAUUGGUUAGGUCUUUCAGUGCCUAGGAGUGAAACAUCAACACACAUUUAGAAAAUCUGUUCUUACUGUAUGCUUUGAUCAAUGAGUCUCAUGAGUUAUCCAGCUUACAGAUAAAGAAGAAAACCUCCAUCCUGGGGCAAAGAACAACUAUAAUCCUACGCUUCAGAGAGAAAAAAAGCGAAAACUCUCUAGAAGCUCCAGCAGCAAUAUGGAGCUACCAGAGACUGAUUCUGUGAGAGGUGAAGCCUCAACUUUGACCAAUAUUUCCAAGAUCCUAUGCCAAAUUCUUGGCCUGUAAAGUCACAUCCAAGCCUCUAGCUACGCACCUGAGAAAUGCACAUCUGCCAAACCAGCUUUAGGAAGAUAUAUGAACCAUAAGCACACUUCAGUGAAGCACUGAUUUCAGGUCAGAAGGAAGAGUGCCGCUCCAGGAAGGUAUGCAA
Molecule: long non-coding RNA, 4826 nt
Organism: Dromaius novaehollandiae (emu)
Lineage: Eukaryota; Metazoa; Chordata; Aves; Casuariiformes; Dromaiidae
Exons: 4
Source: RefSeq, a predicted model, not a curated record